GAAAUGCGAUAAGUAGUGUGAUUUGCAGAAUUCAGUGAAUCAUCGAAUCUUUGAACGCACAUUGCGCCCCUCGGUAUUCCGUGGGGCAUGCCUGUUCGAGCGUCAUCUACACCCUCAAGCUCUGCUUGGUGUUGGGCGUCUGUCCCGCCUCCGCGCGCGGACUCGCCCCAAAUGCAUUGGCAGCGGUUCCUUGCCCCCCUCUUUGCACAACACAUUGCCAUUCGAGGCGGCGGCGGCCCGCGUCCAACAAGCUCAACCCCCCCGUCUUUGACCUCGGAUCAGGUAGGGAUACCCGCUGAACUUAAGC
RNAcentral lists this unclassified non-coding RNA (307 nucleotides) under plant metagenome. RNAcentral's name for it is "partial contains 5.8S ribosomal RNA, internal transcribed spacer 2, and large subunit ribosomal RNA". The stretch from base 1 to 105 matches the Rfam family "5.8S ribosomal RNA", at positions 50 to 154 of the family's 154-position model. The record is from RNAcentral.